RNAcentral lists this ribosomal RNA (492 nucleotides) under uncultured bacterium. RNAcentral describes it as "partial 16S ribosomal RNA". It matches the Rfam family "Bacterial small subunit ribosomal RNA", at positions 29 to 507 of the family's 1533-position model. The record is from RNAcentral.
AGUGAACGCUGGCGGUAGGCCUAACACAUGCAAGUCGAACGGCAGCACAGUAAGAGCUUGCUCUUACGGGUGGCGAGUGGCGGACGGGUGAGGAAUACAUCGGAAUCUACUUUUUCGUGGGGGAUAACGUAGGGAAACUUACGCUAAUACCGCAUACGACCUACGGGUGAAAGCAGGGGAUCUUCGGACCUUGCGCGAUUGAAUGAGCCGAUGUCGGAUUAGCUAGUUGGCGGGGUAAAGGCCCACCAAGGCGACGAUCCGUAGCUGGUCUGAGAGGAUGAUCAGCCACACUGGAACUGAGACACGGUCCAGACUCCUACGGGAGGCAGCAGUAGGGAAUCUUGGGCAAUGGGCGCAAGCCUGAUCCAGCCAUGCCGCGUGGGUGAAGAAGGUCUUCGGGUUGUAAAGCCCUUUUGUUGGGAAAGAAAAACAGCAGGAUAAUACCCCGCUGUUCUGACGGUACCCAAAGAAUAAGCACCGGCUAACUUCGUG